RNAcentral lists this ribosomal RNA (253 nucleotides) under uncultured bacterium. RNAcentral describes it as "partial 16S ribosomal RNA". It matches the Rfam family "Bacterial small subunit ribosomal RNA", at positions 524 to 776 of the family's 1533-position model. The record is from RNAcentral.
UACGUAGGUGUCAAGCGUUGUCCGGAUUUAUUGGGCGUAAAGCGCCCGCAGGCGGCUUGCCAAGUUCGAUGUGAAAUCUCCCGGCUCAACUGGGAGGGUGCAUCGAAAACUGGCAGGCUUGAGGCAGGGAGAGGGAUGUGGAAUUCCAGGUGUAGUGGUGAAAUGCGCAGAUAUCAGGAGGAACACCGGUGGCGAAGGCGGGUCUCUGGGCCGAUACUGACGCUGAGGAGCGAAAGCGUGGGGAGCGAACAGG